RNAcentral lists this ribosomal RNA (460 nucleotides) under uncultured bacterium. RNAcentral describes it as "partial 16S ribosomal RNA". It matches the Rfam family "Bacterial small subunit ribosomal RNA", at positions 338 to 795 of the family's 1533-position model. The record is from RNAcentral.
CCUACGGGAGGCAGCAGUGGGGAAUAUUGCACAAUGGAGGAAACCCUGAUGCAGCGACGCCGCGUGAGGGAGGAAGGCGCAGAGCGUCGCAGACCUCUUUUGACGGGGGACAAAAGGCUGGACUCGUCCGGUUCUGAGGGUACCCGGAGAAAAAGCAUCGGCUAACUCCGUGCCAGCAGCCGCGGUAAUACGGAGGAUGCGAGCGUUAUCCGGAGUUAUUGGGUUUAAAGGGUGCGUAGGGGGCUCUUUAAGCCGGUGGUUGAAGUGGGCGGCUCAACCCUCCCAUAGCCGUUGAAAUUGGGGGCCUUGAGUGCAGCAGAGGCGUGCGGAAUGCGCGGUGUAGCGGUGAAAUGCAUAGAUAUCGCGCAGAACCCCGAUUGCGAAGGCAGCUUGCCGUGCCGCCACUGACGCUGAGGCACGAAAGUGCGGGGAUCGAACAGGAUUAGAUACCCUUGUAGUC